UACAGAGACCUCAAGCGUUAUCCGGAAUCAUUGGGAGUAAAGCGUGCCGAUAGGUGGUUUUGAAAGUCUUGGGCAAAAGCCAGAAGCUCAACUUCUGAGUUUGCCUAAGAUACUGCAAAACUAGAGGGGCAAAGAGGUCCUUGGAACGAAUGGUGUAGUAGUGAAAUGCGUUGAUAUCAUUCGGAACACCGAAAGCGAAGGCAGAGGACUGGGUGCCACCUGACACUGCUAGGACGAAAGCGUGGGGAGCGAAUGGG
Molecule: ribosomal RNA, 257 nt
Filed under: uncultured bacterium
Lineage: Bacteria
Description: partial 16S ribosomal RNA
Rfam family: Bacterial small subunit ribosomal RNA
Source: RNAcentral